RNAcentral lists this long non-coding RNA (3743 nucleotides) under Homo sapiens (human). Its description in RNAcentral is "HSALNT0091296". The record is from RNAcentral. Lineage: Eukaryota; Metazoa; Chordata; Mammalia; Primates; Hominidae.
CAGAUCAAGAGCAUCUCAUCCUCCGGCUGCUGAGUCAUCCUGCUCUGGCAGUUAUUUAAACAGAAGGCUCCAGGAGACAUACAAUCAACACUCCACUCAGACAAUGCCCAGACCUCCAGAAACCAUGUGUCAAGCUCGGAUUGCCUUAGACAGGUGCAAUUUAAGAACAGCUUUCAUCCUCUUUUCUCUCAUAUUGUCACACUAUGUGUUCUGACUUCUGGCUCCUUUCCUCACAAGAAGCUCACCCAGCUGGAACUCUUAUGGGACCUUGGCACCAGAGACCACAAAUUCCUCUUUGAAGUUUUCUAACAGCAACAAUGGUAUUUCUGACUUGGCUUUCUUGUAUUUCUCUCACGUUAACAAAAUUGGUUCAGCAUCUACCAUGGGCUACAUGCUGAGCUACAGAGUUUCGCUCUGUCGCCCAGGCUGGAGUGCAGUGGCGCGCGAUCUCGGUUCACUGCAAGCUCCACCUCCCGGGUUCACGCCAUUCUCCUGCCUCAGCCUCCUGAGUAGCUGGGACUACAGGCGCCCGCCACCACACCCAGGAAUCCAACUUGCUGUUUGCUAUCACAUGUGCUAUACAUGCUGUUGAUGAAACUGCUAAAGGGGCUGAAUGUGACUGACGUCUUUGGAAGGAUGAGACUUAGCGUGCCUGUACAGUUGUGUCCAAAUGCUGUCCUCAUCUCCCAAUGAAAAGCUGAACUAGGGCCAUGCCUGGGACAGACAGAGAAUGGCCUUCCAGCAGACAUGCCAAGAAGCAAGCCAGGGUCAGUGAGUGAAGAGGAGGGCAGGCCCAUUUGAAGCAACACAGUUUAUGAACAAAACCCAUCAGAAGAUGUCAGAAGAUAAGGAUUUUUGUCCUGAUGCUACACUUACCAGCUGUCCCUCAGUGUUCUACUUCUUAAAAAAAGAGAGGUUGGUCCUGAUCCCUGGUUCUUAACCAGGGGAAAAUGAAGUGGGGCCAGGGCAUGUGCAGACUUAAAAAUUACACAGGGGAAUGUAGGCACGAUCUGUUUAAGAAAUACUGGACUAAAUGGUCUCUAAUCUGUGAUUGUAGAUUAAAGAAUAAUCUACAAUCUACACCGUGUUGGCCAGGCACGGUGGCUCACACCUGUAAUUCCAGCACUUUGGGAGGCUGAGGUGUGUGGAUCACAUGAGGUCAGGAGUUCGAGACCAGCCUCACCAAUGUGGCAAAACCCCCUCUCUACUAAAAAUACGGAAAAUUAGCUGGGUGUGGUGGUGCAUGUCUGUAGUCCCAGCUACUCGGGAGGCUAAGGCAUGAGAAUUGCUUGAACCUGGGAGGUGGAGGUUGCAGUGAGCCAAAAUCACGCCACUGCACUCCAGCCUGGGUGACAGAGUGAGACUCUGUCUCAAAAAAAAAGAAAAAAUAAAUAAUCAAAUGUAAAGUUAGCACAUAAAGGAGGCAUGUACAUAUUAUUAAAAUCUAUAUGACUACCUCUCCUUUUUCAUUUUUGGCUCAAUAUCUGUAUCUGAACACCUAAUUAAUGAAAGGAAAACAUUUGUAAUAUGUAGCAACUAAAAUGUCACCUUCUCUGUGGGGAUCACAAAGUCCUUGGCAAUCACUUCCAUACCAGACAAGUGAGUAUUGUCCUUCUCCUUUUCCAGAUGGAUAAACAGAGGCAACCCGAGGAUAAAGGCCUUGCUCAGUGUCACACAUUUCAGUCACUAAAUAAGACACAAUGGAUGCCAGUAUUCUCAUCCCCUCACAAAUAAAGAGCCUUCAAGCUCUUGCAGUCAACAAGAACUUUUGGAAUGAUUUCACUGCCUGAAAAGGCAGAUACAUAGGUGACACCCACAAAUAGGAAGAAAAUCAACCUGAACCUGAGUGUGUGGGCUCACUGACUCUAAGCAGUAGAGACAGAAGAAAAAGUUUUAGCAAAGAAGGGUUCUGAAAGAAAAUAAAUAUAGCUCGUUAUCAAGUGCUGUUUUUACACAGUAAAACAUGGGCAAAAUUACUCUUCUUUAAGUAGUAAUUCUUAUCUCUUGAUUAAGUCACCUACUCAUUCAUUUAAUAAAUACAUACUGAUUGUUUUCUAUGUGUUGAGCACUCAUCUCUGUAUUGGAAAUAUAAUAAUGACCAAAGUUGACAAUAGUAAUAACAAUAAUAGCUAAUAUAGCAGGCACUAAUAAUUAUUUGUUGAGUAAUAUGUCAAAAUUCAGUGUGAACAGCAUUCUAUUUGGGGCUGCAUCCACUGACUAUAACACAGCUAAUCUAUCUGAAAUGUUCCAGCUUUGGGCCUCUCUAACAGAAGAAGCUGUUGUUGGGCCUGCCUCUAGUUGGCGAUGCAUCCACCAAUGAGAAUGAAUUUAUGAUCGACCACUCUUCCUGUAAAGGCCGCUGGAACUGACAGCAUUGUGAUUUUCUUUUACUGUUAGUUUUAAAUUACUAGAACCAACUCAAUUACUAGAACGAACUUUACUUCUUUGUUUCCUACUUAUCAAAACAGUAAAAACAACAAGUAAAAGAAAUGCCAUCUUAAUAUUGUUUUGAUGACAAAACAGUAUUCCUUUUAGUUGUGCUUCAAAUGGAAUAAGAUGCAAACAGGCUUGGUAUGGUGGCUCACCCCUGUAAUCCCAGCCCUUUGGGAGGCCAAGGUGGAAGGAUUGCUUGAGGCCAUGAGUUUGAGACCAGCCUGCGCAACAUAGCAAGACCGUGUCUCUACAAAAAAUAAAAAAUUAGCUGAGUGUAGUGGUGUGUGCUUGUGGUCCCAGCUACUUUUGAGGCUGAGGAGGGAGAAUCUCUUGAGCCCAGAAGGUCGAAGUUGCAGUGAGCCGUGAUCGUGCCAUUGCUCUCCAGCUUGGACAACAAAGCAAGACCCUAUGUCAAAAAAUAAAUAAAUAAAAGACAUAAACAUAUCUGAGAUUAACUUUCAGUGGUAAAUUUGUUCCAUAUAUGAUUUUUAAGGUUAAAUGCUUUGGAAGCUUUAAAAACCAUUUCAGCCCUUUUAAAUGCCAACUUACACUGAUGAUGCUCUCAGAUGUUAGGAAAUCUUUUGAGCAGAAAAUGGAAGUGGGGGUGUUGAGGCAGGGAGGAGAGUGAUGCAAUAUUCCUUAGUGUCAUCCUGUGAUUUCACAAUUUGUUUUUCAAUCUGUUUGGACUUUCAAAAGGGAAGACUCUCAUAUGUCAACAAGCCCAUGAACUGAAGCUUAAAACACUGGAAACAACAACUGUAGAGUUUCAAGUAUAUGUACAUUUAUGUAUUCAUGUUCCUUGAUGGGAAUGCUGGCUGGUGUGAAUGUUCAAUCUCCUGAGAAAUGUAAAUUUUUCUCUGACAGAUUUAUUAGCUUGCUGUAUCUGAGCACAUGAGCAAAAACAAUGCCUAAUAAGAAAACUUUCUCUCUCCUUCAAAGUCAAACUUGGGAGAAAUGAAGGGAAAUCGAGUUUUCUUUGCUUGACAGUGUUCAACAUUCUUGUAGUCAGUGUGCUCAUGAAGAUUGCAAACUUUUUUUUUUUUUUAGAGCAGCUAGGACUACAGGCGCGCACCACCACACCCAGCUAAUUUGUGUAUUUUUAGUAGAGAUGGGGUUUUAACUAUGUUGGCCAAGCUUGUCUCAAACUCCUGACCUCAAGUGAUCCAUUCGACAGCUCUUUCUUUUUUUUUUUUUUUUUUGAGACAAAGUCUCGCUCUGUCACCCAGGCUGGAGUGCAGUGGUAUGAUCUCAGCUCACUGCAACCUCCGCCUCCUGGGUUCAAGCAAUUCUCAUGCCUUAGCCUCCCGAAU